AAGUCGUAACAAGGUUUCCGUAGGUGAACCUGCGGAAGGAUCAUUAUUGUAAUGGGGUUGUAAACCAUCCCCGGGCGAACGAGUUGGCAGCGGUCCCUCGUGCGAACACUGCCUUCUCGCAAACCCAAACCCUUGUCUAUGAGUACCUGUCUUUUCCCUCGGUAGGCUUGCCUGCCGCUAGGGACAAUACCUAAACCUUUUGUGCAACUAUUAUCUUGUAACCGUACAAACUUUAAUCUUACAACUUUCAACAACGGAUCUCUUGGUUCUG
RNAcentral lists this unclassified non-coding RNA (271 nucleotides) under fungal sp. RNAcentral's name for it is "partial internal transcribed spacer region". The stretch from base 1 to 46 matches the Rfam family "Eukaryotic small subunit ribosomal RNA", at positions 1786 to 1831 of the family's 1831-position model. The record is from RNAcentral. Lineage: Eukaryota; Fungi.